This 551-nucleotide ribosomal RNA is filed under the name Diversispora celata. RNAcentral's name for it is "SSU rRNA". It matches the Rfam family "Eukaryotic small subunit ribosomal RNA", at positions 548 to 1098 of the family's 1831-position model. Lineage: Eukaryota; Fungi; Glomeromycota; Glomeromycetes; Diversisporales; Diversisporaceae. The record is from RNAcentral.
UUGGAGGGCAAGUCUGGUGCCCGCAGCCGCGGUAAUUCCAGCUCCAAUAGCGUAUAUUAAAGUUGUUGCAGUUAAAAAGCUCGUAGUUGAACUUCGGGGUUUACCCAUUGGUCAGGCUUAAUUGUCUGUACUGGUGAGAUAAAUCUCUACCUUCUGAGGAACUUUCAUGUCAUUAAUUUGGUGUGAUUGGAAAUCAGGACUGUUACUUUGAAAAAAUUAGAGUGUUUAAAGCAGGCUAACGUCUGAAUACAUUAGCAUGGAAUAAUGAAAUAGGACGGACUGAUUCUAUUUCGUUGGUUUCUAGGAUCACCGUAAUGAUUAAUAGGGAUAGUUGGGGGCAUUAGUAUUCAAUUGUCAGAGGUGAAAUUCUUGGAUUUAUUGAAGACUAACUACUGCGAAAGCAUUUGCCAAGGAUGUUUUCAUUAAUCAAGAACGAAAGUUAGGGGAUCGAAGACGAUCAGAUACCGUCGUAGUCUUAACCAUAAACUAUGCCGACUAGGGAUCGGACGAAGUUAAUUUUAUAAUGACGCGUUCGGCGCCUUACGGGAAAC